This 591-nucleotide ribosomal RNA is filed under the name uncultured archaeon. Its description in RNAcentral is "bacterial SSU rRNA". It matches the Rfam family "Archaeal small subunit ribosomal RNA", at positions 21 to 612 of the family's 1478-position model. The record is from RNAcentral.
GGGUUACUGCUAUUGGUGUUCGACUAAGCCAUGCAAGUCAUAUGUUCCUCGUAAACAUGGCAUACUGCUCAGUAACACGUGGAUAACCUGCCCUUGGGUCUGGGAUAACCCCGGGAAACUGGGGAUAAUACCGGAUAACGCAUAUGUGCUGGAAUGCUUUAUGCGUAAAACGGAUUCGUCCGCCCAAGGAUGGGUCUGCGGCCUAUCAGGUAGUAGUGGGUGUAAUGUACCUACUAGCCAACAACGGGUACGGGUUGUGAGAGCAAGAGCCCGGAGAUGGAUUCUGAGACAUGAAUCCAGGCCCUACGGGGCGCAGCAGGCGCGAAAACUUUACAAUGCGGGAAACCGUGAUAAGGGAACACCGAGUGCCAGCAUCAUAUGCUGGCUGUCCAGAUGUGUAAACUACAUCUGUUAGCAAGGGCCGGGCAAGACCGGUGCAGCCGCCGCGGUAACACCGGCGGCCCGAGUGGUGACCGUUAUUAUUGGGUCAAAAGGGUCCGUAACCGGUUUGGUCAGUCCUCCGGGAAAUCUGAUAGCUUAACUGUUANGCUUUCGGGGGAUACUGCCAGGCUUGGAACCGGGAGAAGUAAG